Molecule: unclassified non-coding RNA, 2584 nt
Filed under: Cyanidioschyzon merolae strain 10D
Lineage: Eukaryota; Rhodophyta; Bangiophyceae; Cyanidiales; Cyanidiaceae
Description: hypothetical transcript
Source: RNAcentral
ACAGACCUGAGACGCCUCGCUUUGCAUCCACUCGAAGCCGUACGUCUAUCCAGAGUGCGUAUUCGCAGGGUUUCCUCUUCUUGUCGUAAAAAUCGUUCCGGCCCAGUUGCUACCGCCGGCAGUUGGUCUGGGGAAAAGUUGAGGAGCGUUUGCUUUGCGCGUUUCACAACGCUUGCUUUUUUGUCUCGUUGGCGGCGGGCUUACGUGUAUAGCCUGGAUCUGUCUCUGCUGUCCACUUUAUUUGCAGAGGUUUUCCACGAAUCAGAGAGCCAUAAGCGCUGCCGGCCAUUGCGGGCGUCAACCGUUGUUGUGUGGUUGUUUCAAGCGCAAAUAGGUGUACCAACCUUUGCAGAGCGUCCGCGGAACGGUCUCCAGUCACAAGAGCUAUCGGCUUUGAAACACGCAACCUGGUUUGGUAAAAACGCUUUCCAGAGUUCAUCCUCGCGAAAACUUCUUUACACCGAAGAAACGUUCUCCAACUCGUACGAGAAUGAGCUCGCGGGUUCAGACCAUCAGUUGUGAGCGAGUCGCUGACUUGGUGCGAAAGGGCGCCAUUCCGUGGCCAGUAACGAUCCUCGAUGUACGCGACGUUGACUUUCACGGUGGAUGCAUACGAGGCGCAUGGCAUGCUCCGUACGACGAAGCUAUAGGGAAUCUGGGUGCCUUGGCCGUGAAACUCAUGCGCUUUGCGCUGAAAAUGCAGUCGACAUCCGCAGGAGAUCGGCACUUGGUCAUAUGCCACUGUAUGCUUUCCAAGUGCCGCGGACCGGAGAUCGCUAUCGGGCUCGCUUCGACGCUACCGCGGAUGCAUGUCCAAUGGAAAAGAGAGGGUUCAGAUCUGGCGCAGCUGGACUUGCCCAGCAUCGCAGUCAUGGAAGGUGGAUAUGAACAUUUCGCACGUCUUUUUGGUGAAAAGGAGCCUGGGCUGUUCGCUGACCGCCCCAUUCAGGUUGUGUGCGAGUAACUCGAGCAGCACAAAGGGAUUCUGGGAAAGCGAAUACUUCUGCAGAUGAGAACACACUACGACAGACGAGCUCUGAACAGCGGCAGCAGUGGCCGGCACCAGCGAUUCGAGAAAACGACUCGGAUUAUGAUACACUCGACAGCAUCAAAGGCGGAGAAAGGCACGCGCCUUUGCAAUGAUUCGGCGCUCUCAUCGGGGUGCAGAGCCGGGUCGGACGCGCGCCCGCGCUCAUCCUGGGGAAAUGCUCGCUCCCGGGUGCCUGCGUAUGAGGCCGGACGCAGGUGAACGGCACCGCAACCAUCAAGGAUUAACAGCGUUUCUCUGCAUUGUGCGAUACGCUCCUUUUUGACUCAAGUGUGCAUGGCGGUCGAAUGCACGAGACGUCACGCAUCCCGAUCAUGUCCCGCUCCUUAUAUGUGGUUCGUUGGGGAUAACGCAAGCGGCAUCCGGAUGCAAGGGUGUUGCGUUGCAUUCAGAUUCGGAGCGCUACAUCAUUCGCGAGCGGUUUUUGAGGGAGGGCAGCGUUGAUCCAAGACCACCCGAAACGAAACACAAGCUCCGACAAGACUAGGGUACGUGCAUUCUCAGCCGACCCUAGACGGCAGCGCUCGAGCCAUCAUUUCCUCAUUGGACAUGUGAUUUCUGCGGCGUUCCUGUGCCGCACGGAUGUGCACCCACUCUCCACUAGUUUAGCAGGUCGGAAUGCAUUUGCUCAUUGCCGAACAUUACCGCAUUUGAUGAGGUAUCGGCAGCGAUGCAUCAACCUCGACCAAAGUAUACGAGAUCGUGUCUCUUCGAUGGGGUCUAGGCAGAUUCAAGCAAGCUGGACCUGUGAGUAUUCGUAGCCACAUUUGGGAGCGGUGCAGCGGAAUCACUGCGAACGGCGUAUCCCCGAGAGGCCCAUCGACGGGGCCGAAUACCUCAUGAUCCGUCCGUCCUGCGCGUCGCACGGGGCGCUGAUGCUCUUCAAGAGCAUUCGUCAGCGCCGAUGCACCAAGAAGGACUACCGACCCCUGGCGCUCCCAUUACCAGAUCCGUUCCAUGAACGCAGAUGACACGCCGACGCUCGCUGGAUUCGUUUCGGGUCCGGCAGCAUGCACACGUGUCCGCGACCAAGGCACCGAUCUCGUGGCCACCACCGAUGAUGGACUUGUUAACAGGGAUCGGUCUGUACUCUUGCGGCAUCAUGUAGCAACCACGCUAGAGGACGCCCAUUCGGUUUGGUGCCACAGAUAUGUAGACGCAUGCAGGGGAAGGCGCCAGCGGGUUCACACAGCUGCUGGGCACACUUGCGUCGAUCGUUCUGCAUUCGAUGCGCGUAUAGGCGUUCAGUCAUCGCGAAGUUGCUUCAUGCGCGGUAACCGUCGACCUGGGGUCAUCCGCACCAGCAGACGAAGCGGUCUCAGCAUACACGAUUGUGGGCAUGUUUUCCUCAGUGUCCUCAAUGAGGAGAGACGCCCGCUCUGCUGCGCUCUCCGGGAUGGACCUGUAGAGCGCAACGACGUGCUCACCGGUUAGUUCCGUAACGAGCAUACGCAAGCUCGCGGCAUUUCGCGGUCGUAUACUCUCUCCAUUAGGCAGCGGGUACUCGGCAUAGAUCGUAAAUGCCCCGUUCAGCGC